AGAGUUUGAUCAUGGCUCAGAACGAACGCUGGCGGCAGGCCUAACACAUGCAAGUCGAACGCCCCGCAAGGGGAGUGGCAGACGGGUGAGUAACGCGUGGGAACAUGCCCUUUGGUUCGGAAUAACUCAGGGAAACUUGAGCUAAUACCGGAUAAGUCCGAGAGGAGAAAGAUUUAUCGCUGAAGGAUCGGCCCGCGUCU
RNAcentral lists this ribosomal RNA (200 nucleotides) under uncultured bacterium. RNAcentral describes it as "partial 16S ribosomal RNA". It matches the Rfam family "Bacterial small subunit ribosomal RNA", at positions 8 to 238 of the family's 1533-position model. The record is from RNAcentral.